CCUACGGGUGGCAGCAGUGGGGAAUAUUGGACAAUGGGCGCAAGCCUGAUCCAGCAAUGCCGCGUGAGUGAAGAAGGCCUUAGGGUUGUAAAACUCUUUCAGUAGUGAAGAUGAUGACGGUAACUACAAAAGAAGCACCGGCUAACUUCGUGCCAGCAGCCGCGGUAAUACGAAGGGUGCUAGCGUUGUUCGGAAUUACUGGGCGUAAAGAGCAUGUAGGCGGAUUGAUUAGUCAGAGGUGAAAGCCCCGAGCUCAACUUGGGAAUUGCCUUUGAUACUGUCAGUCUAGAGACCGAGAGAGGUUAGUGGAAUUCCCAGUGUAGAGGUGAAAUUCGUAGAUAUUGGGAAGAACACCAGUGGCGAAGGCGGCUAACUGGCUCGGUACUGACGCUGAGAUGCGAAAGCGUGGGGAGCAAACAGGAUUAGAUACCCCAGUAGUC
This 440-nucleotide ribosomal RNA is filed under the name uncultured Alphaproteobacteria bacterium. Its description in RNAcentral is "bacterial SSU rRNA". It matches the Rfam family "Bacterial small subunit ribosomal RNA", at positions 338 to 795 of the family's 1533-position model. The record is from RNAcentral. Lineage: Bacteria; Pseudomonadati; Pseudomonadota; Alphaproteobacteria.